This is a long non-coding RNA of Priapulus caudatus, 1312 nucleotides long. RefSeq lists it as uncharacterized. Lineage: Eukaryota; Metazoa; Priapulida; Priapulimorpha; Priapulimorphida; Priapulidae. The record is from RefSeq and is a predicted model, not a curated record. The transcript is spliced from 3 exons.
AUACUCUCGCUCUCACUGACAUAUAUUUCUCUGUCUGUUUCACUAUAUUGUCAGUUACGGACACUGUGUUCUCGCACUACACGGGCAAACGGAUAUUUCUGCGUGAUACUGUCGCAAAGGUACUGUGUGGAGCCAUAAUGAAAUCGGUACAACUGCUCCUGUUUUCCAUUGUCUUUCUAGGAACGGUGGUCGUCGUAAGAAACUUUGGCUAUGGUCACACACGUAUAAGUAACUCACCAUAUCUGUCGCAUUAUGCUGCAUCGAGGAUUAGGACAACUACAGUCGCCACGACCACGUACUCCAGUAAAGCACACAAACAUGGCACAAUUUUCCAAAGGUACCAUCCGCAAGGUCACGGAGGAUACGGCCAUGGAGGAGGAUAUGGUCACGGAGGAGGAUACGGCCACGGAGGAGGGUACGGCCACGGAGGAGGAUACGGCCACGGAGGAGGAUACGGUCACGGAGGAGGAUACGGUCACGGAGGAUACGGCUUUGGUGGUGCUGGUUAUGGAGGGUAUGGCAAGAAAAAGUAGAACACAUAUCAGGAGUAGAUAAUAGGGAAAUUCCCUAUUAUCUACUCCUGACACAUAUCCUGCUCUAUAUACCACUAUUAUCAGGGUUGAAUGAUCAGACCUGCCAUUAUCCACCCCUGAUUUUAUCCAACUACACAUUGAAAGUUUCAUUAUUUGUUUAUGCGUAGCUUGUUGUUGUUGUUGUUGGUUUUUAUUUAACAGCUGUUUAUUAUUGCCACAGUGGAAACGGGGUUCACGCUAAGGAUAAUAACGCAGCAACGAGCUUAAAUGACGUAAUUUGUUUUGCUGACUUUAUUAGUGUAGCAGUAUAUCAAAUGUUUGCUGUUUUUAUACCUAGUUAUGUAUUGUUAAUUUUCGUCCGUUUUACCAUAAUAGAAUGUUUGGUUACUGAUGUUACUUUAUGGGGGUAAUUGCUAUUUAAUUAUUGAUUUUUAUGCAAAUUUGUCCUUUAAAUCGAUAAGCAAUCUUAUAACUUUGACAGAAAAUAUAAUCUCGUAAAAUGUAUCUAUAUACGUCUAUUGAAUGCUUUAAUUAAGUGCGCGUACUUUCCAUUGUGUGGUAUUUGUCUUAAUACAAAUAGUUGCCAUUAUGAACAGCCUGUCCUUGAUUUCACAAGGAUACCACGUUAAAUUAUUGUUAAACAUGUUAUAUUGUAUAACUAGAUUAUUGCUAUGUAUAGUGUUACUUUAGCUGAUAGUAUAGUGUUACAUUUCCACAAUCCACGCAACAAUAAAGUGUGAAACUAUAGCAUCCUAUACCUGCUGUUUCAUUCUAACCGA